RNAcentral lists this unclassified non-coding RNA (334 nucleotides) under soil metagenome. RNAcentral's name for it is "partial contains 5.8S ribosomal RNA, internal transcribed spacer 2, and large subunit ribosomal RNA". The stretch from base 1 to 120 matches the Rfam family "5.8S ribosomal RNA", at positions 35 to 154 of the family's 154-position model. The record is from RNAcentral.
GAUGAAGAACGUAGCGAAAUGCGAUAAGUAAUGUGAAUUGCAGAAUUCAGUGAAUCAUCGAAUCUUUGAACGCACAUUGCGCCCCCCAGUAUUCUGGCGGGCAUGCCCGUUCGAGCGUCAUUUCAACCAUCAAGCCCUGCUUGUGUUGGGGUCCUGCGGCUGCCCGCAGGCCCUGAAAACCAGUGGCGGGCUCGCUAGUCACACCGAGCGCAGUAGCACAUCUCGCUCAGGGCGUGCGGCGGGCUCCAGCCGUUAAAGCACCCACCUUUCGCAAGGUUGACCUCGGAUCAGGUAGGAAUACCCGCUGAACUUAAGCAUAUCAAUAAGCGGAGGA